CUCCGCGGCUCACUCCAGUGACGUCACUGGAGGCGGGGCCCGGACCCUCGGAGCGUGCCCUCCGCGGAGGCGGCUGGAGGGUCCGGGGGCCUGUGGGACCUCGGAACUUUUUCGGUGCGUCAGACUAAAAAAGUGAGCGUUUUGCUCUACGUUUUGCUGCGUGAGGGGCCUUGGCCGAUCGCCGGGCGCCUGCGUUGGCCUGCGGCGACCCCGCGGACCGGCCCUUCCCGCCCGAGCCUCCGUCCGGGCCUCCCGCGGCCGGGCGUCACCCCCACACCGAGCCCGAGAGGGUGUCCUCCCAACGGCGACCGCGGGCCUGGUUAGUGACUCCGAGGCGGAAUUCUCGCCCGCGUGCCUUUCCCGGUCUUCCCCUUCCUUCCCUGUUUAGUAAAGCUUGUAACCCUCGCUGAGUAUCUGGCCGCCUCUCCCCUCUGCCUCCGGAAUUUCAACGGGGUGGUAACGCUUCCGUCUCUGCCUCUGGCUUUGUUCUCUCUGAUUCUGGUAGCGAUAUUGUUCCGAAGAGAAUUGGCAGUUUGUGGUAACCGAGGUGUUGAACCGGCGACCUCGACGUGGGUUUUUCCGGUGUCAGUAAUCGCCUCUGAACAGAGUGAAGGGCGUUAUUAGGAAUCGCGUUUCACCGGAGAGCAGAGUGGCGCAGCGGAAGCGUGCUGGGCCCAUAACCCAGAGGUCGAUGGAUCGAAACCAUCCUCUGCUAUCUGCUUUUUUUCCUGCAACUUUUUAGUUUCUGUAGCCUCGUUUCACAGUAGGGGAAGAAAAUAGAGCCUGUUUUGCUUCAUUCUGGAGUGAAAAUUAUUUCCUGAAAAUAAACGUGAAACUGUUUACAUUCUCCAGAGAGAAAAAGACCGUCGCUCAUGGAUACUCAGUUAUCAUUAAUUAAGAUGUUCCCCCACCACAAGCUAUAUUUCUAGUGGUGGCCAAAGGGAUCGUGACAGUCCCAUUGCCCUAUGAACCUGGGAAAACGCUAAAAUAAGCUGAGUGUAAGGGUGAGGACAGGGAUGGAAGCCGAGAGAAGGCGUUUUCUUUCCUUCUGUAUGUAAUUCAGAAAAGCUCUACUUGUUAGUGAGCUGUGGCCACGUGGCUAAAGCCAUAGACCAAUCUGCUGGGCCCUCCCAGCGCCAAAUCUUUGCAACUACCAGAGUCGGAAACUUUGGAAUAAAUAAGUAGCAGUUUGAGACAGAGUGCAAAGUUUUGGUGGCCACGAUUGAACUCUGACUUGGGAAAACCACUUACGUGGUUGAUGCUGGUAAAUGUGUUUCUACCGCCUGCCUCCCUUUACCAGUCUCCAACAGAGGUGCUCUCUAUGCUCAUGUUUAAAGUGUAUGUUUUAUAUUUCUCUCAGAAAAGAUCCCUGUUCAUAUACUUACGUUGUAAUAGGUCAACUUACAAGAUAUCAGAAAGCUUAUUGUAUAUAAGUUCAGCUUAAACUCACCUUUCAUGAAUAAUUGAGAUAAUAGCUUUUGUAGUUCCCUAAUACGGAAAUUGACCGCCCUAUGUCGCUGUAACUUUGCCUGCUUGCUAAAUAGAUACCUUAGGCUGCAAAACGCUCCCCCACCCCUUCUACCAAGAUCUGGCCAGGGAAGACCAACAUGUAAAAAUUCACCAACUCACUGCCCCACGGUAUCUUAGGUGUCUAACUACAGUUGGUCAUUUUAAACCCUCUUAGGACAAAGAACUUUAAAUUGAUAGGUUCCCACCAAAACUAAGGUCUCUGUGUCACAAUAGAAUUGGCUACCAUGAAAUGCUGUAAAUUGCAAUUGGUUAACUAAAUAAUGACCUAUUCUGACUUGCUACAAUCCAUAGAAGCUCACUGCUACCUUUGUUCGGGGCCAUUCUCUACACUUUUCUCCUUAAGAUCAGGAGAUCAGGUUUGGCCCGGCCUCGCUUCUAUUCAGUGUCUGGUGGGUUUUUUGUUUUUGUUUUUGUUUUUGUUUUUGUUUUUUUGACAGCACCCUGUUUCAACGUGAUACUGUGCUAAGCAUGAAGUGUUCAAGUAACCUACAGUCUAGACAUGCUUUUAAACAAGUAUACAACUGGAGGCGGUCUGCCCCCCACAGUACACCAGACGGCCGGACAGGCCAUGCUCGACGCUGGACAGAUGAGAUUGGUGGCCGUUUCCGGUCACACGCACUCACAGCCCGGAAGGGGAGGGCACCGCAUGCCGCACAAGGUCGCACGGCUGCAAUCUCCAAUCGAGUGAGCCAGCAAGGGCUGCGGGAGCCUCUCCAUUCACAGACAAGAAUAAGCGUACUAACAUCUUGGAACUUGGCGAACGUGAUCGUUGCCAAGGGAGGAGAAAAUGACCCGUAAAGCACACUAGACCAGGAGGCCAAAACAUCUGCACACCCCUGCAAACAGGCAGGUGAACGUGACAGAUGGACCGAACCCCAACUCAGCCUUCACUGGCCUCCGUCGCAUAACCAGGCCCGUAUCAGCAGCACGUUUCUGGUCAACAACCAGCAAAUGUCCAAAGUUUUCGCCAUCAUCUCCCGCCACAGGUAUCUGGGAUAUAGGUCCCUCGGGUCUCACCAGACACUGUGUUGAUGCCUGAGGGGAAAUGUCAUGGAAACUGAGACACCAGUCAUCUGCAAAAAUUCUUUGGCAACCGCCCCCUGGUUUUUCAGCUCGGCGGCUGAGUUCCAGCCCCACGUCUCACUCUGCACUGGCAACGUGGAGCCCGCUUGGGGUUCUCUCCACCCUUCCCCUGCUCGCUCGCUCGCUCUCAAAAUAAAUAAAACAAUUCUUUGGGCUGGAUAUCCUCGCUGGGGAAUCUUCCCGUAGAUCAUGUCUCCACCGGGUCAGGUCUCCACCGGGACAAAUCCGUAGUCAGAUUUUUGCUGGAUGAAGGAAUCUUUGAGCUCCAUAAUCCCCACAUUAGAGGCGAUGGCAAAAUUCCCAAGAAAUAUGUAUGUGAGAGAUUGAGCACAUGUUUAUUGAGCUCCUACUAUUUGCCUGAUGUUAUUCCAUGGACAGGGAAAGAAGGACUACGUAAAGAAUCCCAUGUCUGUGCUCCGGAAGCUGCUGAUUUACUAGUCAACACAAGCCAAGAUCUAUCACAAAUGAGCCAAGAGGGCCAGUGCUCCCAAGGUCUGGGACUUAAGAAAAUUAAGGAAAUGCAGCGUGUGUAGAUUGUCGACAGUAUCCUUAAACAAGGUCACACAGAUUCACUGAUGAACUCGAAAGAAGCCAUCCAAAAUAUCAAAAUAUAAGUGUAAAUCUCUUCCACUUUAUUGGGCCCAGCACUCUACAGAGCAUCAUCAAUUCUAUAAACACCUCGGCCAUAGAAUGGUUUUAUUGCAACACGUUCCGGUGUUGAGUCAUCUACCAAAUGUAAAACUCGUUAACCAUGUCUGUGACAACGCGACAGUGUUUCUCUCUUCAUGUACGGGAACCUCAAAUAAUAUCAAUGAGCCUGGACCACUCCAAGGGCCUAAGCGACGCCAACAAAAAGCACGCUCUUCUCCAGAUAGAGACACGCUGUGACAAGCGCUCUGGUGGCAGGUGACAACGAUCGCAGAGUACCAGAGUGUGGGCAGGGGAGACUUGUUAGGCCCUGGGGCCUGCAAGACAGCGACAAGGACGCCGGUGCGGGUGCUGACUGCUUUGUGGGGGCGGUGACACCAUCGCCGGGCCGGCGGGCGGCCCGGCACCGAGGGUCUAAGACGAGUGACUGUGGCGGAAUAUUAACAGGGAAGACGCUCUGAGUUCGCUUCUAUCCCUGGAUGCAGACGAGAGGCGCUGCUUUGGCAUCUCUUCGGUCCCACGAACAGGUUUUCAGCUCGGGAGUGGGAAUGGGAGUGACUUUUCUCCCCACGCUGUACCCAUCAUAAUUGUCAGAUCCUACCCGCGGUGAGUCCCGACUCCCGGGGCCUCAAAUAACCCGGGUAAUCUAGUGUAGAAAGCGCGGGCGGUGGGCGCGCUCUUUUGAGACUCAGGACCCGGCGGAAAGCUCAUUAUACUUUCCAAGUGUUGCCACAGGCACGUGU
This is a long non-coding RNA of Neofelis nebulosa (Clouded leopard), 4004 nucleotides long. RefSeq lists it as uncharacterized. The transcript is spliced from 3 exons. The record is from RefSeq and is a predicted model, not a curated record. Lineage: Eukaryota; Metazoa; Chordata; Mammalia; Carnivora; Felidae.